RNAcentral lists this ribosomal RNA (497 nucleotides) under uncultured bacterium. Its description in RNAcentral is "partial 16S ribosomal RNA". It matches the Rfam family "Bacterial small subunit ribosomal RNA", at positions 28 to 507 of the family's 1533-position model. The record is from RNAcentral.
GAUGAACGCUGGCGGCGUGCCUAAUACAUGCAAGUCGAGCGAACAGACGAGGAGCUUGCCCCUCUGACGUUAGCGGCGGACGGGUGAGUAACACGUGGAUAACCUACCUAUAAGACUGGGAUAACUUCGGGAAACCGGAGCUAAUACCGGAUAAUAUAUUGAACCGCAUGGUUCAAUAGUGAAAGACGGUUUUGCUGUCACUUAUAGAUGGAUCCGCGCCACAUUAGCUAGUUGGUAAGGUAACGGCUUACCAAGGCAACGAUGCGUAGCCGACCUGAGAGGGUGAUCGGCCACACUGGAACUGAGACACGGUCCAGACUCCUACGGGAGGCAGCAGUAGGGAAUCUUCCGCAAUGGGCGAAAGCCUGACGGAGCAACGCCGCGUGAGUGAUGAAGGUCUUCGGAUCGUAAAACUCUGUUAUUAGGGAAGAACAAAUGUGUAAGUAACUAUGCACGUCUUGACGGUACCUAAUCAGAAAGCCACGGCUAACUACGUG